RNAcentral lists this ribosomal RNA (600 nucleotides) under Exiguobacterium sp. kiruthika. Its description in RNAcentral is "bacterial SSU rRNA". It matches the Rfam family "Bacterial small subunit ribosomal RNA", at positions 883 to 1459 of the family's 1533-position model. Lineage: Bacteria; Bacillati; Bacillota; Bacilli; Caryophanales. The record is from RNAcentral.
UCGUCACGGGCUCUAAACUCACAAGGAAAUUGUACGCGGGAGCCCGCACAAGACGCUGGUAGCAUAUGGUUUUAUAUAUUGAAGAGACGCGAAGAAGCACUCUUUCCACCUGCUUGACAUCCUCCCUUUGACCAGUACCAGAGGAUGUAGCGUUCCCCUUCGGGGGCAAGGAGUGACAGGUGGUGCAUGGUUGUCGUCAGCUCGUGUCGUGAGAUGUUGGGUUAAGUCCCGCAACGAGCGCAACCCUUGUCCUUAGUUGCCACCAUUCAGUUGGGCACUCUAAGGAGACUGCCGGUGACAAACCGGAGGAAGGUGGGGAUGACGUCAAAUCAUCAUGCCCCUUAUGAGUUGGGCUACACACGUGCUACAAUGGACGGUACAAAGGGCAGCGAAGCCGCGAGGUGGAGCCAAUCCCAGAAAUCCGUUCUCAGUUCGGAUUGCAGUCUGCAACUCGCCUGCAUGAAGUCGGAAUCGCUAGUAAUCGCAGGUCAGCAUACUGCGGUGAAUACGUUCCCGGGUCCUUGUACACACCGCCCGUCACACCACGAGAGUUUGUAACACCCGAAGUCGUUGAGGUAACCUUAGGGAGCCAGCCGCCGA